UGGUUUAGACAUGUUUACAAACUUGCUAAGUUGCUAAGAUAAAUACAAAUACAAAUGCCAGCUAAACUGUUACCGGUAAAAUUUGUUCUCAUGAUCAAACUCAAGAAACUCUAAGUACAGAUGAUUUGUUUAAAGUUAUAUGUAUUUUACUGUUGUAUUUACUUGAAGCUUUCUUAGAUUUUGAAACGAAGUAAACACGUAAUGUGUGUUGCUAAUGUUGGGCCAUGUAAUAUGUAAUACAUUUACGUUUUAAUGAAUAGUCAGUCUAACGAUUUAUAGUCGUUGUACUCUAUUGUUAUAAUAUUUCUUUUUGACUGAAUACAUGUUUGUUUUAUUUGUCUAUAUCCUAGAUUCGCAGCUGUACACAUCCUUCUACACUGUAUGCAAACAUGCAACAUCAUUACACACAGUACAAGGAGUCAGACUGGCAUAUGAGGAGCAAAGGAACCCAGGCAGUAGCAUCGUUUUACAAUGUUUCCAUCAUCAUCAUCAGUGGAUGCCUUUGCUGUCCGUAGCCUGAGAUUUCAGAUUUGCAGCAAAAAAAAUUGAUUUUCUCAUUUAUUGGAAUGCUGUGCAGGUAUUUGUACCUUGCAGCCAUCCAUUACAAUGUCACCAAGCCGUAACAAAAGCAGGAGAGGAAAAGUACAAGGCUAUGUUCCCAAAACACACAAGUGACAUACCUUAUGUGGAGGAUGUGAUCAGGCUUGUGUUUGAUGAGGUAUUUGAAGAUAAGCUGAAGGAAACCCCGAUUCCAAUGGACCUGGCAUCACAGUUUGAGAGACCUUCAAAGGAGGACGUGAUUGCAUGCCAUCUUCAGUGCAGGGGUCGUCGAAAGCCAAAAUUGUGACCGAUCUGAUCAGGAAGCUCCAAGCGUAUCUGGAGAACAACACACGACAGGAUGAUAACCUUAUAGUGUCGUCUUAAAUAGCACCAGCUGACAAAGCUUUGCUGUGCCAUUUAUCUGAAUAGAUAGCUGUAAGAAAUGAAUUGAACAAUUUUUGAAAGAAGAGCACAAUAUGGUUACUAAAGUAUGUUUAUUUGUAUAUUGUUUAACAUUUAAAUAUAUAUUUGUAAUAAAUAAAAAAAACUUUUGACUGACUAUUA
This is a non-coding RNA of Paramisgurnus dabryanus, 1104 nucleotides long. Lineage: Eukaryota; Metazoa; Chordata; Actinopteri; Cypriniformes; Cobitidae. The record is from RefSeq and is a predicted model, not a curated record.